GAUGAACGCUGGCGGCGUGCCUAAUACAUGCAAGUCGAGCGAACGGACGAGAAGCUUGCUUCUCUGAUGUUAGCGGCGGACGGGUGAGUAACACGUGGAUAACCUACCUAUAAGACUGGGAUAACUUCGGGAAACCGGAGCUAAUACCGGAUGAUAUUUUGAACCGCAUGGUUCAAAAGUGAAAGACGGUCUUGCUGUCACUUAUAGAUGGAUCCGCGCUGCAUUAGCUAGUUGGUAAGGUAACGGCUUACCAAGGCAACGAUGCAUAGCCGACCUGAGAGGGUGAUCGGCCACACUGGAACUGAGACACGGUCCAGACUCCUACGGGAGGCAGCAGUAGGGAAUCUUCCGCAAUGGGCGAAAGCCUGACGGAACAACGCCGCGUGAGUGAUGAAGGUCUUCGGAUCGUAAAACUCUGUUAUUAGGGAAGAACAUAUGUGUAAGUAACUGUGCACAUCUUGACGGUACCUAAUCAGAAAGCAACGGCUAACUACGUG
RNAcentral lists this ribosomal RNA (497 nucleotides) under uncultured bacterium. Its description in RNAcentral is "partial 16S ribosomal RNA". It matches the Rfam family "Bacterial small subunit ribosomal RNA", at positions 28 to 507 of the family's 1533-position model. The record is from RNAcentral.